Molecule: ribosomal RNA, 301 nt
Filed under: uncultured bacterium
Lineage: Bacteria
Description: partial 16S ribosomal RNA
Rfam family: Bacterial small subunit ribosomal RNA
Source: RNAcentral
CAGUCGCCGCGGGAACACGAAGGGUGCAAGCGUUAAUCGGAAUUACUGGGCGUAAAGCGUGCGUAGGCGGUGAGUUAAGUCUGCUGUGAAAUCCCCGGGCUCAACCUGGGAAUGGCAGUGGAUACUGGCUCGCUAGAGUGUGUCAGAGGAUGGUGGAAUUCCCGGUGUAGCGGUGAAAUGCGUAGAGAUCGGGAGGAACAUCAGUGGCGAAGGCGGCCAUCUGGGACAACACUGACGCUGAGGCACGAAAGCGUGGGGAGCAAACAGGAUUAGAUACCCGAGUAGUCCCUGUCUCUUAUAA